GAGGAGACUUCAACCCCUCAAACACUCAUAUGGGCAUUUCUGACACAGAAACAUGCACACACACACACACACACACACACACACACAGAUACACACAGAUACACACACAGAUACACAAACAGACACACACACACACACACACACACACAAACAGAUACACACAGAUACACACACAGAUACACAAACAGACACACACAGAUACACACACACACACACGGGAUCUUUCUACACACUCUUGUCACACGUGUGUUCGGGCUCAAAGGCAUCAGUCUGUAAACCACCGACAAUAGAGAUGCCAGCUAGCCCUCAUCCCACUGAAGAGCUGCAGCAGCUGGACACUGAUCCAGAACCCAGUCAACCCCUCAGCAGACGUUUAAAUACUGUGACCUCACCCCCUGCUGGACCCUGCUGCUCCAAUCCGGUCCGGCGUGGCUGCUUUAAGAGCUGAGGGAUGUGACAGCUGGACUCACAGAGACUUCAGGUGAACCUUGUGCAGAGCUCCGGUCGUCCCCAGUCUUCCAGCUGUCGUGUUUCUGCUCUAAACGGCUCAGAUGGACCGAUCCGCACAGGAGCUGUUUCUGAACUUUAUGAUUGUGUUGAUCACAGUUCUGCUCAUGUGGUUACUGGUCAAACAAUAUCAGGAUGCAUGAAGAGCGAAGAGCUCAUUCCUCACCACCAUCAUCAUCAUCAUCAUCGUCCUCAGCUGUGAAGAUGAGCUCCAGCACCGGACGAUGAUGUUUCUGCAGACGGAUGGGAGAUGUGCCAGUCAGGAUGGAUCGUCUCGUGAUGCCUUCAAAAGCAGCACAGUUUGUCCGUAUGGGUUAUUGUUAUGUGUUAAAUGUUAAAUGAUUUGAUACUCUGGAUGUUUAAUGUGAUAAAUUGGGAAAAACACUCAAAUUAACUGCCGAAAGAGUACCAGCAAUGUGUUGAGUAAAGACAUUGUUUUAUUGGUUUAAAUAAAGAACUCUUUGGCAAUGCAACGGUGUGUGUUUGUGUUACGGCAUGUAUCUCUAGAUCCAUAUAUCAACCUCACAUUAAGAGACAGAAUUACACCUCUCGACAUGAACUUCUAAAUAAAUAUUCUGUACUUCAGCUGUUCAGAGAUCAGUCGCGUCAUUCCUCGAUCAGGAAACAUCAGACACAAGCGAGCGUGCGUGUUCUUCUGCUCGCGGACGCAAACUCUGAUGAAGGCGCUUCGAUGGAGAGAGGAUUGACGCUCACGCUUCA
This is a long non-coding RNA of Cyprinus carpio carpio, 1227 nucleotides long. Lineage: Eukaryota; Metazoa; Chordata; Actinopteri; Cypriniformes; Cyprinidae. The record is from Ensembl.